Molecule: ribosomal RNA, 578 nt
Filed under: Salinibacterium sp. I14A-00937
Lineage: Bacteria; Bacillati; Actinomycetota; Actinomycetes; Micrococcales; Microbacteriaceae
Description: bacterial SSU rRNA
Rfam family: Bacterial small subunit ribosomal RNA
Source: RNAcentral
GUGGCGAACGGGUGAGUAACACGUGAGUAACCUGCCCCAGACUCUGGGAUAAGCACUGGAAACGGUGUCUAAUACCGGAUACGAGCUUCAGCCGCAUGGCUAGGAGCUGGAAAGAAUUUCGGUCUGGGAUGGACUCGCGGCCUAUCAGCUAGUUGGUGAGGUAAUGGCUCACCAAGGCGACGACGGGUAGCCGGCCUGAGAGGGUGACCGGCCACACUGGGACUGAGACACGGCCCAGACUCCUACGGGAGGCAGCAGUGGGGAAUAUUGCACAAUGGGCGCAAGCCUGAUGCAGCAACGCCGCGUGAGGGACGACGGCCUUCGGGUUGUAAACCUCUUUUAGUAGGGAAGAAGCGAAAGUGACGGUACCUGCAGAAAAAGCACCGGCUAACUACGUGCCAGCAGCCGCGGUAAUACGUAGGGUGCAAGCGUUAUCCGGAAUUAUUGGGCGUAAAGAGCUCGUAGGCGGUUUGUCGCGUCUGCUGUGAAAACUGGAGGCUCAACCUCCAGCCUGCAGUGGGUACGGGCAGACUAGAGUGCGGUAGGGGAGAUUGGAAUUCCUGGUGUAGCGGUGGAAU